UGGGGAAUUUUGGACAAUGGGGGAAACCCUGAUCCAGCCAUCCCGCGUGUGCGAUGAAGGCCUUCGGGUUGUAAAGCACUUUUGGCAGGAAAGAAACGUCGCGGGUUAAUACCCCGCGAAACUGACGGUACCUGCAGAAUAAGCACCGGCUAACUACGUGCCAGCAGCCGCGGUAAUACGUAGGGUGCAAGCGUUAAUCGGAAUUACUGGGCGUAAAGCGUGCGCAGGCGGUUCGGAAAGAAAGAUGUGAAAUCCCAGAGCUUAACUUUGGAACUGCAUUUUUAACUACCGGGCUAGAGUGUGUCAGAGGGAGGUGGAAUUCCGCGUGUAGCAGUGAAAUGCGUAGAUAUGCGGAGGAACACCGAUGGCGAAGGCAGCCUCCUGGGAUAACACUGACGCUCAUGCACGAAAGCGUGGGGAGCAAACAGGAUUAGAUACCCUGGUAGUCCACGCCCUAAACGAUGUCAACUAGCUGUUGGGGCCUUCGGGCCUUGGUAGCGCAGCUAACGCGUGAAGUUGACCGCCUGGGGAGUACGGUCGGC
Molecule: ribosomal RNA, 542 nt
Filed under: uncultured bacterium
Lineage: Bacteria
Description: partial 16S ribosomal RNA
Rfam family: Bacterial small subunit ribosomal RNA
Source: RNAcentral